UACAGAGGGGGCAAGCGUUAUUCGGAAUUAUUGGGCGUAAAGGGCGCGUAGGCGGCUUUGCAAGUGGCGGGUGAAAUCCCUCGGCUUAACCGAGGAACUGCCUGCCAGACUGUGAGGCUUGAGACCGGGAGAGGUGAGUGGAAUUCCCAGUGUAGCGGUGAAAUGCGUAGAUAUUGGGAGGAACACCAGUGGCGAAGGCGGCUCACUGGACCGGAACUGACGCUGAGGCGCGAAAGCGUGGGGAGCAAAC
RNAcentral lists this ribosomal RNA (250 nucleotides) under uncultured bacterium. Its description in RNAcentral is "partial 16S ribosomal RNA". It matches the Rfam family "Bacterial small subunit ribosomal RNA", at positions 524 to 773 of the family's 1533-position model. The record is from RNAcentral.